AGUUUGAUCAUGGCUCAGAUUGAACGCUGGCGGCAGGCUUAACACAUGCAAGUCGAGCGGGGAAAGGUAGCUUGCUACCUUACCUAGCGGCGGACGGGUGAGUAAUGCUUAGGAAUCUGCCUAUUAGUGGGGGACAACAUUUCGAAAGGAAUGCUAAUACCGCAUACGCCCUACGGGGGAAAGCAGGGGACCUUCGGGCCUUGCGCUAAUAGAUGAGCCUAAGUCGGAUUAGCUAGUUGGUGGGGUAAAGGCCUACCAAGGCGACGAUCUGUAGCGGGUCUGAGAGGAUGAUCCGCCACACUGGGACUGAGACACGGCCCAGACCCCUACGGGAGGCAGCAGUGGGGAAUUUUGGACAAUGGGCGAAAGCCUGAUCCAGCCAUGCCGCGUGCAGGAUGAAGGCCUUCGGGUUGUAAACUGCUUUUGUACGGAACGAAAAGACUCUGGUUAAUACCUGGGGUCCAUGACGGUACCGUAAGAAUAAGCACCGGCUAACUACGUGCCAGCAGCCGCGGUAAUACGUAGGGUGCAAGCGUUAAUCGGAAUUACUGGGCGUAAAGCGUGCGCAGGCGGUUAUAUAAGACAGAUGUGAAAUCCCGGGCUCAACCUGGGAACUGCAUUUGUGACUGUAUAGCUAGAGUACGGCAGAGGGGGAUGGAAUUCCGCGUGUAGCAGUGAAAUGCGUAGAUAUGCGGAGGAACACCGAUGGCGAAAGCAAUCCCCUGGGCCUGUACUGACGCUCAUGCACGAAAGCGUGGGGAGCAAACAGGAUUAGAUACCCUGGUAGUCCACGCCCUAAACGAUGUCAACUGGUUGUUGGGUCUUCACUGACUCAGUAACGAAGCUAACGCGUGAAGUGACCGCCUGGGAGUACG
This 875-nucleotide ribosomal RNA is filed under the name uncultured bacterium. Its description in RNAcentral is "bacterial SSU rRNA". It matches the Rfam family "Bacterial small subunit ribosomal RNA", at positions 10 to 884 of the family's 1533-position model. The record is from RNAcentral.